This 354-nucleotide unclassified non-coding RNA is filed under the name soil metagenome. Its description in RNAcentral is "partial contains 5.8S ribosomal RNA, internal transcribed spacer 2, and large subunit ribosomal RNA". The stretch from base 1 to 120 matches the Rfam family "5.8S ribosomal RNA", at positions 35 to 154 of the family's 154-position model. The record is from RNAcentral.
GAUGAAGAACGUAGUGAAAUGCGAUAAGUAAUGUGAAUUGCAGAAUUCAGUGAAUCAUCGAAUCUUUGAACGCACAUUGCGCCCGCCAGUAUUCUGGCGGGCAUGCCUGUCCGAGCGUCAUUUCAACCCUCGAACCCCUCCGGGGGGUCGGCGUUGGGGAUCGGCCCUGCCUUUGGCGGUGGCCGUCUCCGAAAUACAGUGGCGGUCUCGCCGCAGCCUCUCCUGCGCAGUAGUUUGCACACUCGCAUCGGGAGCGCGGCGCGUCCACAGCCGUUAAACACCCAACUUCUGAAAUGUUGACCUCGGAUCAGGUAGGAAUACCCGCUGAACUUAAGCAUAUCAAUAAGCGGAGGA